CCUAGAAUUAUUAAAUAUUUAGAAGAAAUAUUUUUUUUUGAAUAAAUGUUAUGUAAAGUUCUUUGAUCAGAUUAUGUUGCCGUUUAUGUAAUCACCACAUAGUGAGGGUGACAUUGAACAAUAGUUCAGCAAGCCAGAGUGUAUGACCUAUUGGUUACAUUUUCUGAAUUUUUGGAAGAAAUA
Long non-coding RNA from Tribolium castaneum (red flour beetle), 183 nucleotides. RefSeq lists it as uncharacterized. The record is from RefSeq and is a predicted model, not a curated record. NCBI's taxonomy places the organism in Eukaryota, Metazoa, Arthropoda, Insecta, Coleoptera, Tenebrionidae. The transcript has 2 exons.